RNAcentral lists this ribosomal RNA (450 nucleotides) under uncultured bacterium. RNAcentral's name for it is "partial 16S ribosomal RNA". It matches the Rfam family "Bacterial small subunit ribosomal RNA", at positions 354 to 796 of the family's 1533-position model. The record is from RNAcentral.
GUAGGGAAUCUUCCACAAUGGACGAAAGUCUGAUGGAGCAACGCCGCGUGAGUGAAGAAGGUUCUCGGAUCGUAAAACUCUGUUGUGAGGGAAGAACAAGUACCGGAGUAACUGCCGGUACCUUGACGGUACCUCAUUAGAAAGCCACGGCUAACUACGUGCCAGCAGCCGCGGUAAUACGUAGGUGGCAAGCGUUGUCCGGAAUCAUUGGGCGUAAAGCGCGCGCAGGCGGUCCCUUAAGUCUGAUGUGAAAGCCCACGGCUCAACCGUGGAGGGUCAUUGGAAACUGGGGGACUUGAGUGCAGAAGAGGAAAGCGGAAUUCCAAGUGUAGCGGUGAAAUGCGUAGAGAUUUGGAGGAACACCAGUGGCGAAGGCGGCUUUCUGGUCUGUAACUGACGCUGAGGCGCGAAAGCGUGGGGAGCAAACAGGAUUAGAAACCCCAGUAGUCC